UGGGUUGCCCAGGGAGGUUGUUGAUGCCCCAUCCCUGGAGGUUUUUAAGGCCAGGUUGGACGAGGUUUUGUGCAACCUGGUCUAGUGGUAGAUUCCCUGGCUCAUGGCAGGGGUGUUGGAACUGGAUAGUCUUUAGGGUCCUUUCCAGCCUUAAUGAUUCUAUGAUUCUAUACCUGGGAUUUUCCCUCCCACAGCGAGGUUACAGCGUGUUGCUGGAUGCGCCAGAUGACCUUUAGACCAGUCCUCAAUAAAGGAGGCUCUUGGCAAGGCAAAUCAGAGUGCAGCUCCAAGGUCACCUGUGAGCUGAUCAUUUUUUGGCGAGAAGGGAGCAUUGCUGCAAGGAUGAUCUCAUUUUACCCAGCUGGUGCAAUAAGUCCUUGAUCUCUCCAUCCUUUCCGUAAUGUCAGGAUCAAGACCCGUCAGCAGCAGCACCGUUGCGAAAGCAACGUGUCAGAGCAGAGAAAGUCCAGAGUUCAUCCACUAAUCAUCUGCUUUCCCUUCAAAUGAUGCUGCUGGUUCUUUGCAUCUGAAGCCCAAGAUUCGUGAGAUCCGGUGCAUUUUCUGAAGCCCUGACUCCUGGACUCUCAUGAUUCUGAGAGGCUCUGAGGUUUAAAAGCAAUCCUUAGCUUUCUAACCCUAAUAUUUUCAAGAAAAAAAAGAAUCUUCUGAAAAUGAAUCUGCAUUGUAUGUAGUUAUGUUAUUGUAUGUAGUUAAUUUUAAAAGUGCAAGGGAUUAAUAUUUUCUUAUUAUUUUAUUUAUAAACAUCGAUAAUAUUUUAAUUUUCUUGCUUAAUUUAGUGGACUCACCAUUUUACACUACAUGAUCACACCCAUAUUCAUACAUUCCAUUGGAAAAUUCAGGAAUUACAUCGUUCCUGAUCACAUGUGGCUUGUCAACAUUUCCUAAAUUGUGAUAAAGAUUUUCUGAGGAUUGUCUUACAGGGACAUCAUUACAGAGUGUCUGAGUGUCUUUAGUUACACAGAAACAUCACCCCCACGAUGCAGUUUCAUGGAAUAAGUGAUACAUUGAACUUCAGUAAUAGGGAAACCUGGCUUGGAUGUGUAUCUUGUAGCUGAUUAGUGUGGGUGUCUAAUAAUGAACAAAAAAUGUUAUUCUUUGCAAAGAGACACCUCCUCCCUCUGUCUGAAUCCAGCCCCAUUAUGCCCACACGUGUCCCUCCAUGAUCUUCCCCCUUGCACUUGCCUUUGGGGAAUGCAAAGGGAGGAAAUGUUAAUAAAGGAGCAUUUGCCUUUUGCUUGUAGUAA
Molecule: long non-coding RNA, 1265 nt
Organism: Apus apus (common swift)
Lineage: Eukaryota; Metazoa; Chordata; Aves; Apodiformes; Apodidae
Exons: 2
Source: RefSeq, a predicted model, not a curated record